Apis dorsata (giant honeybee) is the source of this 295-nucleotide long non-coding RNA. RefSeq lists it as uncharacterized. The transcript has 2 exons. NCBI's taxonomy places the organism in Eukaryota, Metazoa, Arthropoda, Insecta, Hymenoptera, Apidae. The record is from RefSeq and is a predicted model, not a curated record.
GAAAUUAGAGUCAGUGUUUGUUUGCCGAUAACACAAUAUAGUAUAUUAACGAAUUAUAUAAUAUAUUAACGAAUAUUAAUAGUGACUUAUUUUUAUAUUUUUAAUGAAAAUAUUCAUUUUCGGUAGAGUCAGUGUUUCUCUCAAGAUAAUAGGACGAUUAUUCAUCAUGCGAUGAGAUAUUUCUGAAACGACGACUUCCCAUGGAUCACGACAACUGAUGGCAACGCAGAUUCUUCGCAUCUAAUGGUGAGUCGCAUGCAUUUUUGUUCCUCUGGUUACUCAAUCAUGUCGCAGG